GCCUAUGACCAUACCACUCUGAACACACCCAAUUUUGUCUGAUCUCGGAAGCUAAGCAGAGUUGGGCCUGGUUAGUACUAGAAUGAGAGACUGCCUAGGAAUACCGGGCAAUGUAGGCU
This is a ribosomal RNA of Loxodonta africana (African savanna elephant), 119 nucleotides long. The record is from Ensembl. NCBI's taxonomy places the organism in Eukaryota, Metazoa, Chordata, Mammalia, Proboscidea, Elephantidae.